This 509-nucleotide ribosomal RNA is filed under the name uncultured Actinomycetes bacterium. RNAcentral's name for it is "bacterial SSU rRNA". It matches the Rfam family "Bacterial small subunit ribosomal RNA", at positions 373 to 892 of the family's 1533-position model. The record is from RNAcentral. Lineage: Bacteria; Bacillati; Actinomycetota; Actinomycetes.
GGGCGUAGCCUGAUGCAGCGACGCCGCGUGAAGGGAUGACGGCCUUCGGGUUGUAAACCUCUUUCACUAGGGACGAAGCGUGAGUGACGGUACCUAGAGAAGAAGCACCGGCCAACUACGUGCCAGCAGCCGCGGUAAUACGUAGGGUGCGAGCGUUGUCCGGAAUUACUGGGCGUAAAGAGCUCGUAGGUGGUUUGUCGCGUUGUCCGUGAAAACUCACAACUCAAUUGUGGGCGUGCGGGCGAUACGGGCAGACUGGAGUACUGCAGGGGAGACUGGAAUUCCUGGUGUAGCGGUGGAAUGCGCAGAUAUCAGGAGGAACACCGGUGGCGAAGGCGGGUCUCUGGGCAGUAACUGACGCUGAGGAGCGAAAGCGUGGGGAGCGAACAGGAUUAGAUACCCUGGUAGUCCACGCCGUAAACGGUGGGUACUAGGUGUGGGUUUCCUUCCUUGGGAUCCGUGCCGUAGCUAACGCAUUAAGUACCCCGCCUGGGGAGUACGGCCGCAAG